Long non-coding RNA from Xenopus laevis (African clawed frog), 957 nucleotides. RefSeq lists it as uncharacterized. The record is from RefSeq and is a predicted model, not a curated record. Lineage: Eukaryota; Metazoa; Chordata; Amphibia; Anura; Pipidae. The transcript is spliced from 2 exons.
CAGAGUUUGAAACCAAAGCACAGGAGAUGUUUACAUAAAGAAUUGUUACUACACAGAGAGACUUUACAUGCCCUUUAAAGUUUGGCUCCUUACUUGCUUGCGCAGAAAGAGAAAAAAGAAGAAGCUGGAAGAGGAUUGUUCCGUGGUGCUCGAUGGAAGAACCCCGAGCCGGUGCAGUUUUCUCCUAAUAGGAGCACUGGCCCAGGGUGGUACCCCCAUGUGUAAAUUGCCUUUCUUUCUCCUUUAAGUGGCCUUUGUCCAGUAAACAACCCAAACUUGACCAACUUAUGCCAGUAAAGAAAUACAUUUUCACAAGUCAGUUGAACUGGGUUGACAAUCAAACACAAAAGCUGCUUGAGGUAUGACUAGCUCAUAGGAGACUGGGAGAACCUGGGAGUCAAAUUUACAGUCUCAGAAAGAUUAUCCUUUAAAUUAAAUUUCUAAAAAAUGAAUGACACAAGAGGCAUUAUCAAGGAUAACACACACUGUACUUUAACCGCAUUAACUAAUCUUUUAUUUCUGUUCAAUGGAUUCACUGGGAAAUUACUGGCAGGAGCUCAUAUUUUAUCAUCUUUAAAGUUGUGGGUUAGCUCUUUAAUCACGGAACUGCAAAAAAAAAAAAAAAAUAAAAAUGUACAACUACUCAUUAUAGGGGAUUCAGCUGGGUCGUGACAACUUAAAAAGUGGGGAUUUCACUUUGUUAUCGAGGAGAAUACUUCUGCUUCCUCUUUUGACAGCUGAAUGAGAAAAUAAUUACAGUAAUUUGAUUCUUCAGUUAUUCGGAAAUCGAUCUCACAAGAUGUGUCGUUACUGAAAGUAAAGAACACCAGCGACAAUUUCGCUUGUACCUACAAGUUUUUAUCUGGCAAAGAAAUCAAGGGAAUUAGGUAACUAACAUUUAAUCUGCUGUUAUUGGGAAACAUCCUAUAGGUGGAUUUUUUUUUACUUUUUUACUCC